This 575-nucleotide ribosomal RNA is filed under the name uncultured Flavobacteriales bacterium. RNAcentral describes it as "bacterial SSU rRNA". It matches the Rfam family "Bacterial small subunit ribosomal RNA", at positions 145 to 718 of the family's 1533-position model. Lineage: Bacteria; Pseudomonadati; Bacteroidota; Flavobacteriia; Flavobacteriales. The record is from RNAcentral.
AGCCUUUAGAAAUGAAGAUUAAUACCGCAUAGUAUGUUUAAAUGGCAUCAUUUAGAUAUUAAAGAUUUAUCGGUAAAAGAUGAGUAUGCGUUCUAUUAGCUAGAUGGUAAGGUAACGGCUUACCAUGGCAACGAUAGAUAGGGGCCCUGAGAGGGGGAUCCCCCACACUGGUACUGAGACACGGACCAGACUCCUACGGGAGGCAGCAGUGAGGAAUAUUGGACAAUGGGCGCAAGCCUGAUCCAGCCAUGCCGCGUGCAGGAAGACUGCCCUAUGGGUUGUAAACUGCUUUUAUACAGGAGGAAACACCCCCUCGUGAGGGGGCUUGACGGUACUGUAAGAAUAAGGAUCGGCUAACUCCGUGCCAGCAGCCGCGGUAAUACGGAGGAUCCAAGCGUUAUCCGGAAUCAUUGGGUUUAAAGGGUCCGUAGGUGGAUAAUUAAGUCAGAGGUGAAAGUCUGCAGCUCAACUGUAGAAUUGCCUUUGAUACUGGUUAUCUUGAGUCAUUAUGAAGUGGUUAGAAUAUGUAGUGUAGCGGUGAAAUGCAUAGAUAUUACAUAGAAUACCAAUUGCGA